Molecule: ribosomal RNA, 248 nt
Filed under: uncultured bacterium
Lineage: Bacteria
Description: partial small subunit ribosomal RNA
Rfam family: Bacterial small subunit ribosomal RNA
Source: RNAcentral
AGCCUGAACGCUGGCGGCGUGGCUAAGACAUGCAAGUCGUACGGUGUAGCAAUACACAGUGGCGAACGGGAGAGUAAUGAAUCGCUAAUGUGCCCCGGACUCUGAGAUAGCCAUCCGAAAGGGUGGGUAAUAUCAGAUGACAUAUCUCUGUCGCAUGAUAGAGAUCUCAAAGGUCCGCCGGUCUGGGAGCAGGCGAUUUCGUAUCAGCUAGUUGGUGAGGUAACGGCCCACCAAGGCGACGACGGGUA